Molecule: ribosomal RNA, 812 nt
Filed under: uncultured fungus
Lineage: Eukaryota; Fungi
Description: eukaryotic LSU rRNA
Rfam family: Eukaryotic large subunit ribosomal RNA
Source: RNAcentral
CCCGCUGAACUUAAGCAUAUUAUUAAGCGGAGGAAAAGAAACUAAAAAGGAUGUCCUUAGUAGUGGCGAAUGAAUAGGACAAAGCUCAAAUUUAAAAUCUAGCCUUUUAGGCUCGAAUUGUAGUUUUCCGAUCGUUUAUCACGGAAAUAUUGUUGAAAUGUAAGUUCUUUGGAAUAAGAUAUCAAAGAGGGUGAGAGUCCCGUAUUUAAUUUCAGCAUAUAUUUCAUUACGUGUUAAUAGAUUGAUGAGUCGGGUUGUUUGGGAUUGCAGCCCAAAGUAGGUGGUAGAUUUCAUCUAAAGCUAAAUAUCUCGGGGAGACCGAUAGCAAAGAAGUACUGUGAAGGAAAGGUGAAAAGAACUUUGAAAAGAAGGUUAAAAGUACUUGAAAUUGUUAAAAGGGAAACGAAUGGAACUAGUGUUCAUAAUUAUAUAAUUCAGCUGUAUAGAUUUAUAUUACUUUGUGUUAUAGAGUUGACAAAACCUAUAUAAUAAUUUAAUAUUUUUUUAUCGGUUCAUUUUAUAUAAUAAUGAGUCAAUAUCAAUUUUUGAAAUUGGAGAAAGUCUAUAAUAAAGGUAGACAUUCACUAUGUAUUUAUAUAUAGUUGGGUGUUGUUAUAUUAUUUAGUCUCAUACAAUUUCAAAGGUUGAGGAUAAAAACAUAGGCUUUAGCAAGGGAAAUUAUUCAACCUAUUGAAAUAUAUUUUAUUUAAUUGCUUAGCAAUAUUUAUUAUUUAUUUUAAUGGCGAGGUAAUCCUAUUUCUAUGUUAGGGAUAUUGACAAAAUAGUUUCAUUCGGCCCGUCUUGAAACACGG